Long non-coding RNA from Egretta garzetta (little egret), 1019 nucleotides. RefSeq lists it as uncharacterized. The transcript is spliced from 3 exons. The record is from RefSeq and is a predicted model, not a curated record. NCBI's taxonomy places the organism in Eukaryota, Metazoa, Chordata, Aves, Pelecaniformes, Ardeidae.
CGAAGGGGAAGGGUUGCGGCCCUGGGUCGGCUCUGGGCAGGUUAAUAAACCCCAGUGGCGGAGCAGCACACGGGACCCUCUGGAGCUCGCAGAAACUGUACCACAGUGCAACUUUAUCACUUCAUCAAUGGCUCUUCAGGAGAGGAGCAGAAAGAAACUACAGACAAAAAAUGGCUUUAACAGAAGACACUGAAAUAGUUAAGGAGAGAGAUUAGUUUUACUUAAACACCUGAGAAAAGUCAGUAUGGAAGAGUACUUGCUGCAUCUGAAGACCAGUUACUUUUACAGCAAAGAAUGCAGUCUUCAGUUCUGCAAAGGUAUCAAGGAUCACCAUUGCCCACUCUCUGGUACGACACAGAUCAGACAGUCUCCCUAGUGAGCUCUACAGAAGCUAAACAAUUUGUAAGGAGGCCCUACCUAUUAGAGAACCAUCUAGCAUUAACAAAUGGACUGUUGAUGAUUUUGUAAUUCUCCAUCAGAUUAACAAGUUCCAGUUAAUUAUUCUAACUACUUAGAAUUAAUGGAUGGCAUUUCCACAUUGAACUUUGCUGACUCCCAAGUCUAACCUUUCAUCACACAUUUACCAAAGAGAUUAAAAAGCCCUCUGUUGUUAAACAUCUCAUGCCAGUACGGGUGCUUGCAACUUGUUCUAGGCAGCUCGUCAUCUUCCCCCUACUACACAGAACAUGUCCAUCUAUCCUUUUACCCGCUCACUGCAAAGGCAAUUACUAUGCUACAAAUCCUUGUAGUUUGCCCCUGAACUCCGCCCAGUUGUACAGCAACCUCUUGAGAGACAGCUCACUAGAACUGGAAAGUUCUCCAGCAGUGACCUGACGAAUGACAGAAGAAGCAACAGUCUCCAUAUUCUUGCAUCUCAUCCAUGUCAAGAUACCCAGGCAUACUACAAGCAACAGCAAUGGCAUACAUUUCUAAAGUUUUAGCUAUAAACAACUAUAUUGUGCUGAAACAGUCUGCACUAUCUCCUUUCCAUGAUUUCUACCACCACUGGCCCUUUGUUU